Peromyscus californicus insignis is the source of this 1425-nucleotide long non-coding RNA. RefSeq lists it as uncharacterized. The transcript is spliced from 4 exons. NCBI's taxonomy places the organism in Eukaryota, Metazoa, Chordata, Mammalia, Rodentia, Cricetidae. The record is from RefSeq and is a predicted model, not a curated record.
GAAGACUUCCCGACCUGGGCCUGUGUGUGUGUUCUGUCUCUAUGAAGUAUUUUGCCUCAAAGAACUUGCCUGGUUAAAAGUCAGCAGAAAGUAAAUCUCAGAAGUCAACAGAUAAUGCAGUUGUGGAGGAAAGCCCCAGCACAGGGUUUCAGCAGAGGCGACCGCACCAAAGAUGGUCAUUGACUAAACGAGAGGAUCUUGGGGAGCCACCACUCGUGGCAGGACCACUGAUCUGUGAAGUAUGGAAAAAAACAUCUUGGGGGAGUUUCAGAGCUAUGGGUGCCUUGGAGAUCCUUAAGGAUACUAGGAUAGAGACAGAGAGUUCUCAUGGAGGCCAUGCCAACAUCAGCACGCUAAACUGCAGAAGCAGUGGCUUCCCACACUUCCAGAUUAAAAAGUAUCCCAAGAGAACAGAUCUUAAAUGCAGGCAGCUCUGUGAUAUUCACUCUUCUGAAGGUUACAGCUAAUGUUGAGCUGUAUUUAUUUACCCUCCCAAACCCAGAAGCGAAAAUGAAGGGACGGGAUUGAUUCUUGAAUUCUGGAAUGGAGAGACCCAAGAUCACUUCUCUUUCCGUCCUCAUCUCUCCUCCAACCUGGGUGUCAUAAGGAUUGCAGAUGCUCCCAGCACAGUCCUUACAGUGUUGCUUCUCUGAGGUCAAAGGUGCCUGAGUCCUACAUCUGCACAACUAGUGAAAUCAUUGAAAUAAUGCUGAGAAGAAUGAGACGGCCAAUUCUCGGUGGCUCCCUACCUCCAUUCGGGUCUUGCUGCAGCUGUCACUCUUUAAAAAACAGAAGGUAAUAAAGCUGCUUUUGGUCACCUGGGGGAUAGUGAUUCGACUUUGUUGACACUAGUCUAAAAGUGGGAUCAUGACUUGAUCAUUUUCAUCUAGGGACUCAGGGAGCAAGGCAGUGGCAGGGCCUCUGGAUCAGACACUCAGGGACUUGAAUUAGCAGUGUAAGUACUACAAGAGAAGCUAGGCUACCAGGAGCAGAAGCUAACAUGGAAAGGCAAUGAUGGCAAGAAUUUACUGACUACAUGCCAGUCAGCAUUCCAUGACUGUGACAAAGUACCUGAAUGAAUCAAUCCAUGAAGCAGAGCGUUUGUCUGGGCUUCCAGUUUCAGUCCAUGGUUACGUGGACCUCUUGUCUUGGGCAUGUGGCAGCACAACGUACCACAAGAGCAAAUGGCAUAGUGGUCAUACUCACAUCAUGACCACUGGAAAGCAAAGACAGACAAAGAGAAGCCAGAGUCGUAAUGAUCCCUUUAAGAGUAUGCCUUGAAGGAUCUAACUUCCUGCUACUAGUCCUGAGCGCCUGAAUGUUUCACCAUUUUGCACAAGUGCCAUGAGUUAUGGACUAAAUUUCAAUGCAUGGCCCUUGUGGAACUUUUCAUAAAAUGUUAUCUUAAAACUCCAUACUUCAUUU